GAGCUUAAACCUUGGGUGUGCUGUGC
This 26-nucleotide non-coding RNA is filed under the name Homo sapiens (human). The record is from RNAcentral. Lineage: Eukaryota; Metazoa; Chordata; Mammalia; Primates; Hominidae.